UGGUGCUAAGACUGGAGUUCUGGUUUUUUUGAUGAAAAUGGAAGAAGCCUCGGGCUUCCAUCAGAAUUUGUUACGAGCUUAGCUAAUUACAAAAGAAGUGGAAUGUUCGUAAAAGCAAGUUCAAAAACCUCCAACUCAAUUUGUAAACUGGAAACAUAAAAUAAUAUUCCUCUUUACAAUUGAGAGAGAGAAAUAAGUGUU
Molecule: long non-coding RNA, 201 nt
Filed under: Elaeis guineensis (African oil palm)
Lineage: Eukaryota; Viridiplantae; Streptophyta; Magnoliopsida; Arecales; Arecaceae
Description: long non-coding RNA (EGUI_LNC001026)
Source: RNAcentral